RNAcentral lists this ribosomal RNA (254 nucleotides) under uncultured bacterium. Its description in RNAcentral is "partial 16S ribosomal RNA". It matches the Rfam family "Bacterial small subunit ribosomal RNA", at positions 524 to 776 of the family's 1533-position model. The record is from RNAcentral.
UACGUAGGGUGCGAGCGUUGUCCGGAAUUAUUGGGCGUAAAGAGCUCGUAGGCGGUGUGUCACGUCGGCCGUGAAAACCUGGGGCUCAACUCUGGGCGUGCGGUCGAUACGGGCAUCACUAGAGUUCGGCAGGGGAGACUGGAAUUCCUGGUGUAGCGGUGAAAUGCGCAGAUAUCAGGAGGAACACCGGUGGCGAAGGCGGGUCUCUGGGCCGAUACUGACGCUGAGGAGCGAAAGCAUGGGGAGCAAACAGG